Molecule: ribosomal RNA, 1014 nt
Filed under: Escherichia coli
Lineage: Bacteria; Pseudomonadati; Pseudomonadota; Gammaproteobacteria; Enterobacterales; Enterobacteriaceae
Also listed under: 2 other names
Description: partial 23S ribosomal RNA
Rfam family: Bacterial large subunit ribosomal RNA
Source: RNAcentral
GCCCCGGUAAACGGCGGCCGUAACUAUAACGGUCCUAAGGUAGCGAAAUUCCUUGUCGGGUAAGUUCCGACCUGCACGAAUGGCGUAAUGAUGGCCAGGCUGUCUCCACCCGAGACUCAGUGAAAUUGAACUCGCUGUGAAGAUGCAGUGUACCCGCGGCAAGACGGAAAGACCCCGUGAACCUUUACUAUAGCUUGACACUGAACAUUGAGCCUUGAUGUGUAGGAUAGGUGGGAGGCUUUGAAGUGUGGACGCCAGUCUGCAUGGAGCCGACCUUGAAAUACCACCCUUUAAUGUUUGAUGUUCUAACGUUGGCCCGUAAUCCGGGUUGCGGACAGUGUCUGGUGGGUAGUUUGACUGGGGCGGUCUCCUCCUAAAGAGUAACGGAGGAGCACGAAGGUUGGCUAAUCCUGGUCGGACAUCAGGAGGUUAGUGCAAUGGCAUAAGCCAGCUUGACUGCGAGCGUGACGGCGCGAGCAGGUGCGAAAGCAGGUCAUAGUGAUCCGGUGGUUCUGAAUGGAAGGGCCAUCGCUCAACGGAUAAAAGGUACUCCGGGGAUAACAGGCUGAUACCGCCCAAGAGUUCAUAUCGACGGCGGUGUUUGGCACCUCGAUGUCGGCUCAUCACAUCCUGGGGCUGAAGUAGGUCCCAAGGGUAUGGCUGUUCGCCAUUUAAAGUGGUACGCGAGCUGGGUUUAGAACGUCGUGAGACAGUUCGGUCCCUAUCUGCCGUGGGCGCUGGAGAACUGAGGGGGGCUGCUCCUAGUACGAGAGGACCGGAGUGGACGCAUCACUGGUGUUCGGGUUGUCAUGCCAAUGGCACUGCCCGGUAGCUAAAUGCGGAAGAGAUAAGUGCUGAAAGCAUCUAAGCACGAAACUUGCCCCGAGAUGAGUUCUCCCUGAGACUUAGAGUCUCCUGAAGGAACGUUGAAGACGACGACGUUGAUAGGCCGGGUGUGUAAGCGCAGCGAUGCGUUGAGCUAACCGGUACUAAUGAACCGUGAGGCUUAACCUU